This is a long non-coding RNA of Eriocheir sinensis (Chinese mitten crab), 1014 nucleotides long. RefSeq lists it as uncharacterized. The transcript has 3 exons. The record is from RefSeq and is a predicted model, not a curated record. Lineage: Eukaryota; Metazoa; Arthropoda; Malacostraca; Decapoda; Varunidae.
UCCUUCAAGCCGCCGCGCCGCACGUGCCUGGCGCGCCGCGGUGCUCGGCUCACAACACUUGCCUCCACUUCGGCCCACACCACAAAUUCUUUUUUCUCCUUUCUUACUGAUAUCUGGCUAACUACAUGCCGUGAAAUCUUGAUGAAUGUUUUUUCUGAUUGUUCACUGGUGUGUAUAUACGCUUGAGGUGCGGAAAUGAACGAAAUAAGCCUCGGUGUGUUUACUCGGCCCGCCAGACGUCAACUUCAAACCGCGGUGAGUGUGGCGGCCCGCGGCGGUGCUCGUGUGCUUUACCGUGUGUUGGCCCUCCCCCAGGCGGCCCGUGGCGUGCGUGGUGCCCGGGAUACCAAGGCGGCCGUCACGCGAGGCUCGGGAAGGUCGUUUCAAGUGUUCUGAUCUGCUGUGCUUCAAGAUGUGAAAGAAAAAGAUCCUCACAUGACACUCAGAAAAAGUAAAGGAAAUGUUAAAACUAUAAUGUCAUGCAAAGAGGAAGUUAAUAAAUAAGUGAAGCGUCGAUACUCAGGAAAAUAAAAGAAAGUGUAAAAAUUGUCAUGCGAAGAGGAAGUUAGUUAAGAAUGAAGCGUCGAUACUCGGAAAAAUAAACGUAAGUGUGAAAAUUAAGUCACAUGAAGAGGAAGUUAGUGAAGAAGGAGAGUGUCAUCCCUUGUGAAGUGUAUGUAAGGGAAUAUGAUGUGCCAAGAGGAAUCAAACUCUCAUGAUACUCUGGAAAAUAAUAUGAAGUGUAAGAAUUAUGGAAUGGAGUAUCAUGCCUUGUGAAGUGUAUGCGAGGGGGAGCCAAGUGCCGAGAGGAACCUGCCAGCCAGCCAAGCAACCAGGAGGCAGAGAUGGCUGGAAGCAGGCACUCGAGGAACAUGUCGUAAGGUGAGUAGGCAACCUGGUUCGCUGUUUUUGUCAUAUUAAUAUACCGGUACCUGAAUUGCUGUAGGAUUUCUUUUGUGUAAUGUAGGUUAUUUAUUUUUAUUUUUGUUGGUGUAUCUUCCUUUUCUUCUUAUU